This 253-nucleotide ribosomal RNA is filed under the name uncultured bacterium. RNAcentral describes it as "partial 16S ribosomal RNA". It matches the Rfam family "Bacterial small subunit ribosomal RNA", at positions 524 to 776 of the family's 1533-position model. The record is from RNAcentral.
UACGGAGGGUGCAAGCAUUGAUCGGAAUUACUGGGCGUAAAGGGCGCGUAGGCGGUCAUGAAAGUCAGAUGUGAAAUUCCGGGGCUCAACCCCGGAGCUGCAUUUGAAACUUCAUAACUAGAGUAUAGUUAGGGUAAACGGAAUUCCACGUGUAGCGGUGAAAUGCGUAGAUAUGUGGAAGAACACCAGUGGUGAAGACGGUUUACUGGGCUGUAACUGACGCUGAGGCGCGAAAGCAAGGGGAGCAAACAGG